This 287-nucleotide long non-coding RNA is filed under the name Theobroma cacao (cacao). RNAcentral describes it as "long non-coding RNA (TCAC_LNC001764)". Lineage: Eukaryota; Viridiplantae; Streptophyta; Magnoliopsida; Malvales; Malvaceae. The record is from RNAcentral.
CUAUAAUCCUUGACAAUAUCUGUUAUCCAUAGGCUACCUCGGGCCUGAAAUGGUUGGAAAGGAGGGUGGUGAGAUUAUAAAAUCCCAGUGAGUAAACAGAUACCACCUAAACCAUCUAAAGUCGAGUAAAUGGAGAUAGAUAAAAUAGUUUAACAUACUGAAAUUCAUCACCUUUCAACUUGUUUCAACUAAAUAAAAUCAAUUCAUAUAAAUCGAGUAAUUAACAUGGCUUAUGAAUUUCUUAAAACUUUGGCUCGUGCCAAAAUCAUUAUCAUACUCAGUCAUCA